UACGUAGGUGGCAAGCGUUGUCCGGAUUUACUGGGCGUAAAGGGCGUGCAGGCGGUUUGUUAAGUCUAGGGUGAAAGCUCCCGGCUCAACUGGGAGAGGUCCUUGGAUACUGGCAGACUUGAGGAGAGUAGAGGAGAGUGGAAUUCCCGGUGUAGUGGUGAUAUGCGUAGAUAUCGGGAGGAACACCAGUGGCGAAGGCGGCUCUCUGGGCUCUACCUGACGCUGAGGUGCGAAAGCGUGGGGAGCAAACAGG
This 253-nucleotide ribosomal RNA is filed under the name uncultured bacterium. RNAcentral's name for it is "partial 16S ribosomal RNA". It matches the Rfam family "Bacterial small subunit ribosomal RNA", at positions 524 to 776 of the family's 1533-position model. The record is from RNAcentral.